CUCAACUGUUCGGCAGCAGCCGGUCGUUGCAGCAGCUCCAGGUGUGGAUACAGUAGACAGCCACCUAGCAGCUCUCUUUCCGUCCCGGCAGCGCAGCGGCGUGCCAUUGUCUGCUGCAGGUACAGUCAGGAGCAACUGUGCACCUGCACCCCGCUAUCAAGCGCAGCAGCACUUCGGCGCAUGGACAUCAAAAGGCAUGAGGAGAAAAAGAGCUAGAUCACAGCAGCAUGACCAUUUCAACAAGGACGUAAUAUUACUUCCCAAUCCAUCAUGGGGAAUAGUGUGCAAACAAAAUCCAAAAUUAUGGUUACACAAACAUGGGCACAUCCUCAGUGCCUUUGAAUUCCAGAAGGCCUGGGACCACCAGACUGUUGUGGAAUGCAUCAGAGAUGGUUUUGGUGUGCACAUUCCAGAGGAUGUCAGCCUCCAGUUUCUAAUGGCUUGUGGCAAUAAG
Molecule: long non-coding RNA, 454 nt
Organism: Pseudoliparis swirei
Lineage: Eukaryota; Metazoa; Chordata; Actinopteri; Perciformes; Liparidae
Exons: 3
Source: RefSeq, a predicted model, not a curated record